Molecule: long non-coding RNA, 1634 nt
Organism: Pristis pectinata (smalltooth sawfish)
Lineage: Eukaryota; Metazoa; Chordata; Chondrichthyes; Rhinopristiformes; Pristidae
Exons: 4
Source: RefSeq, a predicted model, not a curated record
GCCGCCGGCUGCCGGUCACGUGUGUGUGUGUGUGUGUCGGCGGUGGAAGACGCGGCUUUUACCGGGGAAGGUGUGGCAGCGGCUUGGCCUGGCCGACAGAAACAUCUCUCAUCAUGGUGUUCCGGACAGGUUGACAGCUGUCAGCUUUCUGUUAUUGAGAGGAUUAUACUGCCAGCCAUCCCACCAAGCUUCGAGAUCUGAAGGAAGGCAAGAAAAUUAGAACCAUUUUAAAAGCAUUCAUCUGAAAUUUCUUACGAUUUAAUAGAUUUUGAAGCUAUUGUGUCCUAACAAAAGGAGAUAAGGGACCCAUUGUUUUUGCCAAGAGACUCUGUUCACAAUGGCGUCUGCAUCUCGAGCCUCAUCCCUUCUCGACAGAGAUUAAGUAAAAUCAAUGCUGCUGCCUGACCCACUGAGCUCCUGCACCUCCUCUCUGUGUUGCUCCGGAUGUCCAGCAGCUGCAGUCUCGUGUGUCCCCAGAGUGGCUGAUCAGUCUCUCGCCCAUGGUUUUAUGUUGUUGAUAACCCCUGUCUGACGCUCAUCUUUCACUCAGUCGUGAGAUUUUGAACUGAUGCCUCAGAAACCACAUUAGAGUUAUUGAAGCAACUCAUUUUUUCCUAUCAAACAGGAACCAAAUGAUCCAAUUACUCAGCAGCGCCCCCCUCACCGUGACCACAGUCAGUGCAGGUCCGUAGUAACGUCUCCUCCUCGCUGACAAUCAACACAGGCACACCUCAAGGAUGCGUGCUUAGCCCACUGCUCUACUCUCUCUAUACUCAUGACUGUGUGGCUAGGCGCAGCUCAAACACCAUCUAUAAAUUCGCCGAUGACACCACUGUUGUUGGCAGAACCUCAGAUGGCGAUGAGGCGUACAGGAGUGAGGUAGCUCGGCUGGUUGAGUGGUGUCGCAACAACAACCUUACGCUCAACGUCAGCAAGAGCAAGGAAUUGAUUGUGGAAGGGGAAGUCAGGAGAACGCACACCAGUCCUCACUGAGGGGUCAGCAAUAGAAAGGGUGAGCAACUUCAAGUUCCUGGGCAUCAACACCUCAGAGAAUCUGUCAUGGUCCCAACACAUUGAAGAAGGCACGUAGCAGCUCUACUUUGCUAGGAGUUUGAGGAGAUUUGGUAUGUCACCAAAGGCUCUUGCAAACAUCUACAGAUGUCUGUAGAUGCUUCUAGAGGUAGAGAGCAUAUUGACUGGUUGCAUCACCGUCUGGUAUGGAGGCUCCAAUGCACAGGAUUGCACGAGGCUAUAGAGGGUUGUAGACUCAGCCAGCUCCAUCACAGGCACAACCCUCCCCACCGUCAAGGACACUUUCAAGAGGCGGUGCCUCAAGAAGGCAGCAUCCAUCACUAAGGACCCUCACCACCCAGGACAUGCCCUCUUCACGUUACUUUUACGGAGAGGAGGUACAGGAGCCUGAAGACCCACACUCAACGAUUCAGGAACAGUUUCUUCCCCUCCGCCAUCAAAUUUCUGAACAGUCCAUGAACACAACCUCGUUAUUCCUCUUUUGCACUAUUUAUUUUUGUAACUUAUAGAAAUUUUUAUGUCUUGCACUGUACUGCUGCCGCAAAACAACAAAUUCCCCAACAUAUGUCAGUGAUAAUAAACCUGAUUCUGAUUCUGACAAG